Molecule: ribosomal RNA, 468 nt
Filed under: uncultured bacterium
Lineage: Bacteria
Description: partial 16S ribosomal RNA
Rfam family: Bacterial small subunit ribosomal RNA
Source: RNAcentral
GACGAACGCUGGCGGCAUGCUUAACACAUGCAAGUCGAACGGGAAGGCCCUGCUUUUGUGGGCUGCUCGAGUGGCGAACGGGUGAGCUACACGUGAGUAACCUACCCCUGCCUUUGGGAUAACUUCAGGAAACUGGGUCUCAUACCGCAUAGGAGCUCCUGCUGCUUGGUGGGCGUUGGAUAGUUUCGGCGGUUGGGGAUGGACUCGCGGCUUAUCAGCUUGUUGGUGGGGUAGUGGAUUACCAAGGCUUUGCCGGGUAGCCGGCCUGCGAGGAUGACAGGCAACGUUGGGACUGAGAUACGGCCCGGACUCCAACGGGAGGCAACAGUGGUGAAUAUUGCACUGUGGGCGGAAGCCAAGUGCAGCAACGCAGCGUGCGGGAUGACGGCCUUCGGGUUGUAAACCGCUUUCGCCUGUGACGAGGCGAGAGUGACGGUAAUGGGUAAAGAAGCACCGGCUAACUACGUG